UUCUUCACACAAACACAGCACAGCUCUGUGUUUCUGUCCCCUUCUUCUAGGGUUAGAUGUGAUGAGAGGUCAAGAGAUGCUGUCUGGUGGCAGUACGAAGAUCUGAUCUAUAUGUCCAGGUAAAUACUUGAACUAAUUGGGUAACAAGCUUCUGCUCUUGAACCACCCGUUAUUUGAUUUUCUGUGCUACAUGGAUCUGGCUGCCUUGCUUGCGAAUCACCCAGAGCUUUCCUUUUCAAGAACUAGUCUUGAUUUCCUGGAUCUUGUUUUCACUUUUGAUUAUUCAUCUGCUAACCUUUCCUUGUUUCUCGUUGCAUGUAUAGGUUUUCCAUUUGGAGGCAGUAAACUGGAGGCAGCAACUGCAUAACUUGCGAGAUGCUCGUAAGAUUUCUUAACUGUCCAUUAAAACUAGAACAUGUUCAGUUAUCAUCACCGGAGCUUUCUGGAGAUUAAUUAGUACCAUAGGUUUUCAUAUGUUCUUUGGAUUGGGCUAGCGAGUAUGAGAAGAUCCCGGAGAGGGAGACGGAAAAACUAUUAACAGGACGGGCGCAAAUAAAACCGAACUAUUCUUGGGACCGUAUUUUCACGUUGAUAUCUAAUUUUUACUCAUUAUCACUGUCAUUUGCCACUUCUGAUUUCGAAAUCUGGAGCAUCAAUAUUUCCCCUCCCGGCAUUGCAAUUUCAGCUAAUUACUGCCCUAGAUAUCCCUUUGAAAUGUCGGAUGGUGUCCACAUCAUCAGUCUAAGGUAGCAACUGGCCCACCUACCAGAGAUAAAUCAUGAUAAUUUAGUUUAGUUCGUGUAAAAAAAGUUGGGUCAAAAAAUAUAUUUAGUCUAUUCCUCUUUCAAGGAGGUAAUAACAUAAACUUUGUGGCUUCAGUGUGCCACACUAGACACAAUGUAUGGUCUAAUUUAUGCUUGAAAACUAAUUAUAUCAUUAAUAUGAUGCAGUUCAAAGGUAAUAUUCAAAAGUAUGUAUGUUGGUCGUUCUUCCAAUUAUCAUGUAACCUAUUUAUUGGGUUGGUAGGUUGGAUGAUGAUCAUGCCGAUGAGUUUACCGCAAGUUAUGCAGUUGCUGCCUCAAGCUUGCUGCAUCCCAAUGUCAAACCAGUGAGACUUAAGAUGAAGAAGUCAUUCGAAUACGAAAUCAAAGAGAAAAACAACCAUGCAAGAAGCCUCUGUAAUCUGCACAACCGAUCAUAUUAUUACUGCAAGCUAGCAAAGCUUUUUUAUGUACAAUUUAACUUUAUUUUCCCUAGCUCCGUGCUAUCUAUGAGCUAAAGGCACCUACAAGGCAGCAAUGCAAGUGUAAUCUUGAAAAUGACAGUCAAAAUGUUUGCAUGCAUGUAUGUUAUCUUUCAAUUUAUACGAGUACGUAACUUUUCUUUCAACUGAUUUUCAUAUUAUUAAUUUUCAUUUCAAGCUAGAAUGCAUUGUUA
Molecule: long non-coding RNA, 1437 nt
Filed under: Triticum aestivum (bread wheat)
Lineage: Eukaryota; Viridiplantae; Streptophyta; Magnoliopsida; Poales; Poaceae
Description: long non-coding RNA (TAES_LNC012985)
Source: RNAcentral